Molecule: ribosomal RNA, 488 nt
Filed under: uncultured microorganism
Description: bacterial SSU rRNA
Rfam family: Bacterial small subunit ribosomal RNA
Source: RNAcentral
GAGUUUGAUCUUGGCUCAGGAUGAACGCCGGCGGUGUGCCUAAUACAUGCAAGUCGUACGCACUGGCCCGACUGAUUGAUGGUGCUUGCACCUGAUUGACGAUGGAUCACCAGUGAGUGGCGGACGGGUGAGUAACACGUAGGUAACCUGCCCCGGAGCGGGGGAUAACAUUUGGAAACAGAUGCUAAUACCGCAUAACAACAAAGGCCACAUGGCUUUUGUUUGAAAGAUGGCUUUGGCCAUCACUCUGGGAUGGACCUGCGGUGCAUUAGCUAGUUGGUAAGGUAACGGCUUACCAAGGCGAUGAUGCAUAGCCGAGUUGAGAGACUGAUCGGCCACAAUGGAACUGAGACACGGUCCAUACUCCUACGGGAGGCAGCAGUAGGGAAUCUUCCACAAUGGGCGCAAGCCUGAUGGAGCAACACCGCGUGAGUGAAGAAGGGUUUCGGCUCGUAAAGCUCUGUUGUUGAGAGAACGUGCGUGAGAGU